AUGGCGCCACUUCCUCGUCUCCUCCUUCCAGUGGCCCUUCUCCUCAUCGCCGUCACCGGAGAGGCGUACGCCGGCGGCACCGGCCACGGCCACGCGCGCUACGACCGCGUCUUCAGCUUCGGCGACUCGCUCACCGACACCGGCAACUCGGCCAUCCUCCCGGUCACCGCCGGGGGGCCCUUCACCAACCCUCCGUACGGGCAGACCCACUUUGGCCGGCCCAACGGCAGGGCCUCCGACGGCCGCCUCUUCAUCGACUUCGUCGGGCAGCGCAAGAUCAUGGCGAGCUCCCUCUUGUACCUGGGAGAGAUCGGAUUCAACGACUACUCUUUCGUCGCCGUCUUCGGCAACGGCACCAUCGGCCUGGUGCAGAGUCUGGUGCCGCACAUCGUCGGCGCCAUCUGUUCGGUCCUGACCGACGCGAUCGGUGUUGGAGCGCGGACGAUGGUGGUGGCAGGGAUGAUACCGAUGGGCUGCGAGCCGGAGCUGCUGGCCCUGCUACCCGGCGGCGGGGGCGACUACUACGACCGGGCGUCCAGCUGCAUCACGCGGUUCAACCAGCUCGCCCAGCUGCACAACCGCGCGCUGAAGCGCAUGCUCUGCCAGCUCCGGCGAGACCACCCCGGCACGGCCAUCCACUACGCCGAUCUGUACCGCCCCAUCACCGCAGUCGUCUCCUGGCCCAGAAAAUACGGCUUCGGCGGCAUGCCCUUGGCAGCGUGCUGCGGCGGCGGCGGGGGGCCGUACAACUUCAACUUCACCUUCUUCUGCGGCACUCCGGCGGCAACAGCGUGCGCCGAUCCGUCGAUGUCCGUUUCGUGGGAUGGGAUCCAUUACACGGAGGCUGCAAAUAGGUUCGUUGCCCACGCCAUGCUGAGGGGAUUGUAA
RNAcentral lists this ribosomal RNA (888 nucleotides) under Triticum aestivum (bread wheat). Its description in RNAcentral is "partial small subunit ribosomal RNA". Lineage: Eukaryota; Viridiplantae; Streptophyta; Magnoliopsida; Poales; Poaceae. The record is from RNAcentral.